Molecule: long non-coding RNA, 550 nt
Organism: Syngnathus acus (greater pipefish)
Lineage: Eukaryota; Metazoa; Chordata; Actinopteri; Syngnathiformes; Syngnathidae
Exons: 3
Source: RefSeq, a predicted model, not a curated record
UGGAAAAAUUAAAUGGGACAAUUCAAAGAGCUCUGAGCAAAGUGGUUUGUCAGCAUCCAGAAAGCUGGGAUGAAUAUUUGGAUCCAGUUAUGUUUGGUCUGCGGUCCCAAAAAACAAAUGACGACAAACUACUCGCCUUACUUUCUAAUGUUCGGCAGAGAGGCACGCUACCCCAUUCAAGUGCCAGAACACUACGAGGUUGAUGGCACUGUGGAGGAUGUGGUGGGGAUGGAAGUUACGGCACAAGACCAUAACGAACAAGACCAACUAUUUGAGCAAGUUAGAGAGCACAUUAGAAAAGCGCAGGAAAAAACAAGGCACCCAAAAACAACCUCAGGGACCACACCAACUGUACACAUUGGAGAUCUUGUUCUAAGAGAAAAUAUCAGGUCUCAACAAAGAAAGGGAGGAAAAUUGAACCCCAAUUUUUUGGGGCCAUACAAAAUUGUGGCGAUUGAGGGCAAGACAGCUGACCUCCAGGAUGAGAAUGGAGCCUUGGUCCCCAAAAUAAACAUUGACCACCUAAAACCAUACAAAGAAAAUAAACAAA